This 74-nucleotide transfer RNA is filed under the name Chitinophagales bacterium. RNAcentral describes it as "tRNA-Asn". It matches the Rfam family "tRNA". From Rfam's summary of the family: Transfer RNA (tRNA) molecules are approximately 80 nucleotides in length. Their secondary structure includes four short double-helical elements and three loops (D, anti-codon, and T loops). The record is from RNAcentral. Lineage: Bacteria; Pseudomonadati; Bacteroidota; Chitinophagia; Chitinophagales.
UCCUCCUUAGCUCAGUUGGUUAGAGCGGCUGGCUGUUAACCAGUAGGUCCCAGGUUCAAGUCCUGGAGGAGGAG